This 571-nucleotide ribosomal RNA is filed under the name Rhizobium sp. RNAcentral describes it as "bacterial SSU rRNA". It matches the Rfam family "Bacterial small subunit ribosomal RNA", at positions 65 to 684 of the family's 1533-position model. Lineage: Bacteria; Pseudomonadati; Pseudomonadota; Alphaproteobacteria; Hyphomicrobiales; Rhizobiaceae. The record is from RNAcentral.
AACGCCCCGCAAGGGGAGUGGCAGACGGGUGAGUAACGCGUGGGAAUCUACCGUGCCCUGCGGAAUAGCUCCGGGAAACUGGAAUUAAUACCGCAUACGCCCUACGGGGGAAAGAUUUAUCGGGGUAUGAUGAGCCCGCGUUGGAUUAGCUAGUUGGUGGGGUAAAGGCCUACCAAGGCGACGAUCCAUAGCUGGUCUGAGAGGAUGAUCAGCCACAUUGGGACUGAGACACGGCCCAAACUCCUACGGGAGGCAGCAGUGGGGAAUAUUGGACAAUGGGCGCAAGCCUGAUCCAGCCAUGCCGCGUGAGUGAUGAAGGCCUUAGGGUUGUAAAGCUCUUUCACCGGAGAAGAUAAUGACGGUAUCCGGAGAAGAAGCCCCGGCUAACUUCGUGCCAGCAGCCGCGGUAAUACGAAGGGGGCUAGCGUUGUUCGGAAUUACUGGGCGUAAAGCGCACGUAGGCGGAUAUUUAAGUCAGGGGUGAAAUCCCAGAGCUCAACUCUGGAACUGCCUUUGAUACUGGGUAUCUUGAGUAUGGAAGAGGUAAGUGGAAUUCCGAGUGUAGAGGUGA